UACGAAGGGGGCUAGCGUUGUUCGGAAUUACUGGGCGUAAAGCGUAUGCAGGCGGAUCGCUAAGUCAGGGGUGAAAUCCCGAGGCUCAACCUCGGAACUGCCUUUGAUACUGACGAUCUUGAGUCCGGGAGAGGUGAGUGGAACUGCGAGUGUAGAGGUGAAAUUCGUAGAUAUUCGCAAGAACACCAGUGGCGAAGGCGGCUCACUGGCCCGGUACUGACGCUGAGGUGCGAAAGCGUGGGAGCAAACAGG
Molecule: ribosomal RNA, 252 nt
Filed under: uncultured bacterium
Lineage: Bacteria
Description: partial 16S ribosomal RNA
Rfam family: Bacterial small subunit ribosomal RNA
Source: RNAcentral